UGAGAUGUUGGGUUAAGUCCCGUAACGAGCGCAACCCUUGCCUUAGUUACCAGCACGUUAUGGUGGGCACUCUAAGGAGACUGCCGGUGACAAACCGGAGGAAGGUGGGGAUGACGUCAAGUCAUCAUGGCCCUUACGGCCUGGGCUACACACGUGCUACAAUGGUCGGUACAAAGGGUUGCCAAGCCGCGAGGUGGAGCUAAUCCCAUAAAACCGAUCGUAGUCCGGAUCGCAGUCUGCAACUCGACUGCGUGAAGUCGGAAUCGCUAGUAAUCGUGAAUCAGAAUGUCACGGUGAAUACGUUCCCGGGCCUU
This 314-nucleotide ribosomal RNA is filed under the name uncultured Pseudomonas sp. Its description in RNAcentral is "bacterial SSU rRNA". It matches the Rfam family "Bacterial small subunit ribosomal RNA", at positions 1068 to 1382 of the family's 1533-position model. Lineage: Bacteria; Pseudomonadati; Pseudomonadota; Gammaproteobacteria; Pseudomonadales; Pseudomonadaceae. The record is from RNAcentral.